Long non-coding RNA from Vicia villosa (hairy vetch), 331 nucleotides. RefSeq lists it as uncharacterized. The transcript is spliced from 3 exons. NCBI's taxonomy places the organism in Eukaryota, Viridiplantae, Streptophyta, Magnoliopsida, Fabales, Fabaceae. The record is from RefSeq and is a predicted model, not a curated record.
UAUAUGGGCUUAAAUGUUAACGUGAAGUUGCCUGGCCCAAUUUCAUAAUUUUUGGUUAGGGUUUGCAAGUAUAAUAACAACACCAUAGGGUUAGCCGCCGCUCUUCAUCACCUUCAAGUGUUCUGCUUCAAUCCUUCUAGGUUUUUUACCGUCGCUGAGCUUCAAACUACCACCACCAUCUUCACUUGGCGUAUUUUACUCACGCAGUUUCAUUGUCUCUUUCUCUCCGAUUUUCAAGAUGACUUGCGACUAUACUUUAGAUCUGGAGACUACUUCGAAUUUUCAAAGACAAGAGAACUGUUAUCUUUUCGAUUCUCCUUUAGAUCUGGGU